GCGUCCUAGAGGAGACAGGAAAGCUCUUGGAGGGCGACGGGGCUCAGGCUGCUGACGCACUUCCGGCCUUCGUGGCUGCUGGGUUGCCGGGCUGCUGCUCCCCGCCGGGGCUCCGGAGCGUCCCUGGACGGGAGGUGUGUCCUCUAAAGAAGAACACAUCAGGAAAUCUUAAAUGAGGUUCCUCUUGACCCCCGGCUGGAGUGAACCUUCUGAAUUCACCCUGGAAUGGCUUCAGCAGAGGAGCAGGAGGGACUGAAGAUUGUGAAGGUGGAGGAAGAUGCAAUCUGGGACCAGGAAACCUGCCUUCGAGAGAACAGCUUUUCUACCCAGGAGGCCUCCCGCCAACUUUUUAGGCACUUUUGUUACCAAGAGACCCCUGGGCCCCGCGAGGCGCUGAGCCGGCUGCGGGAGCUCUGCCGCCAGUGGCUGCGGCCCGAGACGCACAGCAAGGAGCAGAUCGUGGAGCUGCUGGUGCUGGAGCAGUUCCUGACCAUCCUGCCCGAGGAGCUGCAGGCCCGGGUGCGGGAGCAGCAGGCGGAGAGCGGGGAGCAGGCGGUGGCUGUGGUCGAAGAUCUGGAACGGGAGCUUAGUGAGCCCGAGAACCAGGCCCUGGCUCACGAACAUGGCCCUUCUGAGACGCUCUCAGAGGAUGUGCCGCAUUUGAAGGCCAAGCAGGACUCGGUAGCCAUCCAGCUUCAGUCCAUGGUGACACAGCUCCAGGGUGAAUCUUUGGGUCCCCACAGACUCGGAGAACGAGGUUGUGAACCUGUACCUGAGCGCCGGGAGCUGGCAUCGACGCAGGAAGUCUUGAAGGAAGUGGAAUGCUUUGGAAACCGCAGACCCCCAAGAGAUGCCCCCGUAGAUUGUAAGUAUAGAGAACCUUGUGCACCGCAGAGCAGAGCGGAAAAGCAGAGGGGACAGGCAGCCGGAGAGAGACGGCAUAGGUGCAGUGAGUGUGGGAAAGGCUUUACUCAGAGCUCAGUCCUCGUCCAGCACCGGAGAACCCACACGGGGGAGAAGCCCUACGAGUGCGAAGAAUGCGGGAAGACCUUCAGCCAGAGGUCGGGCCUGAUCGAGCACCAGCGGAGCCACACUGGAGAGAAACCCUACAAGUGUAAGGAGUGCGGCAAAGCCUUCAGCGCCAGCAACGGCCUCAUCAGACACCGGAGGAUCCACACAGGGGAGAAGCCGUACGAGUGCGAGGCGUGUGGGAAGGCCUUCCGCCUGAGCUCGUACCUCGCGCAGCACCAGAGGAUCCACACCGGGGAGAAGCGCUACCGCUGCCCCGAGUGCGGGAAGGCCUUCAGCCAGAACGCGGGGCUCUUCCAGCACCUGCGCGUGCACACGGGGGAGAAGCCCUACCCGUGCGGCCAGUGCGGCAAGCGCUUCAGCCGGAGAACGCUGCUCGUCAAGCACCAGAGGAGCCACACCGGCGAGCGGCCGUUCACCUGCGAGCAGUGUGGGAAGGCCUUCGGCCACCACUGCAACCUUGUUCGGCAUUUCAGAACCCACACCGUUGCCAAGCUGGCCUCAUUCCGUGCACCCCCAGACCCUUGAGUGGGGCCAUCUAGGAAAGGAAGAUUUUUGGGGGCGUAUUUUGUUUUUACCAACUUUAUUCUGCUCUGGAACGAGGAGCUCGUCUGCAGCCUGGGCUGCGUCUCCGCGGUGACUGUGGGUGUGGCGGUUGCCUGGCAGCCUCGUCCUCCCUGUCCCUAGCUUCAUUUCUGAGGAUCUUCCUUAAAAGGGACCAAAAAUUACCUGGAAAUAAAUUGGUACGGAGGGGCUGUUCUUGAGUGAUACUGAGCACUGCGCAGCUCUGCGGGACUGGUAUCUGUGCGUACUCUUCAAAGGCCGGCAUUUAUCCUGGGUGUCUCCAGUGCGCAUGCGUGGCCCAUUCGGCGUUGCCUAAUGUUCCCGCUGCGGAGGCCGCCGUCGUGCGGCGUCUUUUCGUCUCGCCGCCCCAUGCCUCUGCCCUCCCAUCUCACGGGCCCCUCCCUGCCCAGUCAGCUGAUCCCGCAGUCCGCGACCUCAGCCCCUCCCUGGCCAGGAUCGUCCCCGAGCACCUGCCCAGGGACCUUCUGCAGCCCGACUCAGCGCCAAGUGAGGCCGCCGUUGGGGCUUCUCCGGUCCUUGCCCCCGCGUGGGCACCGCUCCCUGCUCACCGUGUCGGUCUCCGAGACUCGGCCGGUCACCACCCUGUCUGGAGUUUUGCUCCCCAGCCCCUGGCUCCCUGCUCCCCACACUUCACCUCUUCAUCCUUCUAAAGCUUCAGCCACACAGCCUCGCGCUCCGCUCCAGAGAGGCCCCAGAAUGGCUCAGGCAGAAAGUGCCACUGACCCGGCCGCCUGCUGUGGCUCCUGCCACCCCCAGCCCAACUGAAGGUUUUGUGUAAUGCGGGUGCUGGUAGGUCACCGUGACUCGGGCCUCCUGUGGUGACAGAAGUGAGAGUUACUGGUCCUGCACUAUCCCAGGGAAGCAGCUUUGGACCAGUGGACACUCACCUACUGGCUGUUCCUGGGGCCUCAGCAGUGUGCUCCAUUUCUUGAGAAGUUUCUUUCUUUGCAUUAAAUAACCCAUCUUCAGUUACAACUUCUUCAGCUAAAAUAAUACAAUUUAUAUGUCAUCUGUUGCCUGAAUUAAGAAAGAGG
Molecule: RNA transcript, 2648 nt
Organism: Lutra lutra (Eurasian river otter)
Lineage: Eukaryota; Metazoa; Chordata; Mammalia; Carnivora; Mustelidae
Gene: ZSCAN31
Gene name: zinc finger and SCAN domain containing 31
Exons: 5
Source: RefSeq, a predicted model, not a curated record